ACUCAAAGGAAUAGACGGGGGUCCGCACAAGCGGUGGAACAUGUGGUUUAAUUCGAUACUACGCGAGGAACCUUACCUAGGCUUGACAUGUAUGUGAUCGCUGUAGAAAUACAGCUUUCUAGGCUUCGGUCUAGACAGAUACACAGGUGCUGCAUGGCUGUCGUCAGCUCGUGUCGUGAGAUGUUGGGUUAAGUCCUUUAACGAGCGCAACCCUUGCCGUCAGUUGCUAUUUGCGUAAGCAAAGCACUCUGAUGGGACUGCCUGGGAAACCAGGAGGAAGGUGGGGAUGACGUCAAGUCCGCAUGGUCCUUAUGCCUAGGGCAACACACGUGUUACAAUGGCCAGAACAGAGGGCUGCAAGGCUGCAAAGCGGAGCAAAUCCCUAAAUCUGGUCUAAGUUCGGAUUGAGGUCUGCAACUCGACCUCAUGAAGUUGAAAUCGCUAGUAAUCGCGCAUCAGAACGGCGCGGUGAAUACGUUCUCGGGCCUUGUACACACCGCCCGU
RNAcentral lists this ribosomal RNA (504 nucleotides) under uncultured bacterium. RNAcentral's name for it is "partial 16S ribosomal RNA". It matches the Rfam family "Bacterial small subunit ribosomal RNA", at positions 899 to 1397 of the family's 1533-position model. The record is from RNAcentral.